Molecule: long non-coding RNA, 294 nt
Filed under: Lathyrus oleraceus (garden pea)
Lineage: Eukaryota; Viridiplantae; Streptophyta; Magnoliopsida; Fabales; Fabaceae
Description: Pisum sativum (pea) long non-coding RNA (PSAT_LNC037550)
Source: RNAcentral
AUAAGCUUGAAUGAAUUCUCCUUUCAUCUCACCUGCACACUAUACACACUUUUGGGGUCUUUCAGGUUGUAACGAGGCUUGGGUUAAGGUGGGAUACGGAAAGGAUAGAAACGGAUUUUGGGUUCAUAGUCAAUGUUAUUAUUCUUGUCACGAUGUUUAUUCUAAAAUACCAUUUGACAUUUCCCCAUUUUUUCCAGCUCAGCUACUCAGUUCUUUUUCUUUUGUCUUUGAGUUUGAAUCCAACUGAGUCUUUUCCUUUGGUGACUGCUUUUAUUUGUGCCAUCAGAUUCUCUC